ACCUCAGCUCGGGUGAGACUACCCCCUGAAUUUAAGCAUAUUAUAAGGGGAGGAAAAGAAACUAAC
This 66-nucleotide ribosomal RNA is filed under the name Microcephalothrips abdominalis. RNAcentral describes it as "partial 28S ribosomal RNA". It matches the Rfam family "Eukaryotic large subunit ribosomal RNA", at positions 1 to 69 of the family's 3401-position model. The record is from RNAcentral. Lineage: Eukaryota; Metazoa; Arthropoda; Insecta; Thysanoptera; Thripidae.